RNAcentral lists this unclassified non-coding RNA (162 nucleotides) under soil metagenome. Its description in RNAcentral is "partial internal transcribed spacer 1". The record is from RNAcentral.
ACCGAGUUAGCAAAACUCCAUCAAACCCUGUGAACGUUACACACUAUAACGUUGCCUCGGCGCGACCGCUCCCGGGUAACACGGGGCCGCCCCGCCAGGAGGGCCGUCUACAACUCUUAUUCUAUAACAUGUUACAUUCUGAGUACUAUACUAAAUAAGUAA